This 1941-nucleotide long non-coding RNA is filed under the name Nicotiana tabacum (common tobacco). Its description in RNAcentral is "long non-coding RNA (NTAB_LNC004368)". Lineage: Eukaryota; Viridiplantae; Streptophyta; Magnoliopsida; Solanales; Solanaceae. The record is from RNAcentral.
AAUUGCUAUAUAAAAAGCUAUUAAUUACAGAGUUAACAUCCCAUGAUGUUAUAUAGUUUCAAUAUUUGCUCAACACCUUAACAAAAAAACUUAGCUAACAUCCUAAGCUAGAUUAUGAUAUCAUGUUUUACAUAACAUUCCUAGCAAAAUAAUAAUAAGGUUGUGUUCCUUCUAAACUUUCAUCUUGACUUGUAGCUUCAAUCUUCAAAACCUGUAAGUAAAAAUUUUGAAAAGACGAUGAAUAACUAUUGAUGAAAUAAUAUAUGUAAAUUUACACUAGCAAUGGUUAAAUUGCUUACCCCAAAAGCAGUGUAAAUUCAUCAGGUGUUAUCCAACAACAACAUCAAAAGUGCUACAAGAAUAUAAGGAAAUUAAUUAGAAAAGUUUUGGAACAGUAAAUCAAACUUCGAUUCGAUAAAAGAAUCGAAUCGGGGAUUUGUACAAUGUUAGUAAGUCCCUUUUCUCCUAGACUUACUAUUCUUAAAACCUGUAGACUUCAUUUCAGUAUGUUUGAUUUAUCAAUUUUUCAAACAAGAAAAAUUAAAUCUUUCUUUACAAAAUAAGUAAUUUAGACGUCAAUUAUUAAUGAUUUGAAACCAAAAAUUAGCUUUCAAAGGUGCCUGUUCGAAAGUGAAAAUUAAUUUUUGAGGACACAAGAUUCACCAGGGUAAGACACAAAAGAACAUUAUUAGAACUUUCUCAACAUGCAGUUUCAUGUUGUAAAAACGCAUAUUAUCUUGUAUACUUUUUUUUCCUUUUAAUGAUAAGCUAGUCUUACAUCCUAUUUGACAUCCUAAAGUAUACAUUCUCAGGUAUCUGCAUAAGGUCUUAUACAUUUUGAAACAUAUUCUAUCCCUAUGUCUCUCUGAUGUACUAUGAAGCAAAAUCAGUUAGUUUUCGUGCAUCAGAAAUAGGAUAACGAACAAACUGUCGAUGCUGAUUAAAAACCAUUGGUAGACAACAAUUCAGAUUUGAGAAUGAAACGGAACUGUAUCUGAAUAUGACAAAGAAAAUGACAAUGCUAAUCGAACACCAACGACAGACAACAAUCAAGAUUGGCGAACGAGAGUAAGUGAAUCAGAAACCCAUGCAUUAUCCUCAAAAAAUUCAACACUGAUCUUAUUUUCAAUACACGUGAUUAAUAAUGUGGUUAUGAGCAUCCACAUAUUUGUCAGAUAUUAUUACCUGGACUUACUAUUGUUAAAACCUGUAGCCUAAUUCCUUAUCAUAUAUUUCUCCUUUAUUAGUCAAUAACUUGAUUAUAGUUUCCACAACUGCUUGUAAUUGAUUAUAGCCUAAUGCAUUUGAUGAACUUAACAGCAGUUAAGGUUGAGGCCUCAAUAAUGUCGGGACGAGUAACCCUCAAUGCUCAGAUUUUCUACUUCCAACUUCGUGAACCCAAACUGUUAUUCCCAUCAUUGAGGCUCAUUCAUUUAUAAUAUUGCAACAAAUAUAGCAAUAAGAUAGAAAUGGCUAUAUAAAUAUCAACAAAAAGAAUUAAAAAGCAGGGCAUACUGUUACUAACUUGAUCAGCCGAAAAAAGUCAUCAUUCAGCUUAGCGAUGUCGUAGGCGAGACAUGUGAUUGUUGAGCAGCGAAAAAUUUCCUUAUUUUCUUCAUUUCUUUCAUCUCAAGAUAUGAUCACGAUGAUCAUUCAUGUCAACACUCUCAAAUUUAUCCUACAAUAAUCAAAAUAUCCAUUUAGUUAAUGCACUGUUCAAGAAGCAGUUCAUUGUGCAAGUUUAAGAAGAAGUUCAUUCAUAGUCUCAAAAUUUAUUUUAGUAUCAUCACCAAAUCGGUAAACUGACAUAGGAGUUUCAUCUCGAAAGGACUAACAUAGUUAUCCAAAGAGCACACCGUUCCCUGGUGCAUGCGCCCACAUUUGGCAUCUCUGUCCCUAUCACUAACUGGAGCAUAACUUCACACGCCACAUGUACGGAGG